Long non-coding RNA from Physeter macrocephalus (sperm whale), 4566 nucleotides. RefSeq lists it as uncharacterized. The record is from RefSeq and is a predicted model, not a curated record. The transcript has 8 exons. Lineage: Eukaryota; Metazoa; Chordata; Mammalia; Artiodactyla; Physeteridae.
AAAAGCGCGAGUCUGGAGCCGAAGUUGUGGGGGGACUCGCCAAGCGUACCAGUUUUGGAGGUCACAGGUCCGCGGGGCGCGGCUAAUGGCGGAGCAAGCUGUGAGGGGAGGGUCGUACAGUUGUCGUCAGCGUGAACGCGGGUGCCCAGUGAGUGUCUGAAAGAACCCCAACUCCAGACCCCAAAGUCUGCCCCAGCCCCGCGCUCGUCUCUGCCUCGUCGACUUUAUCUGAUACCACUUUCCCUUCCUUUUUCCCUGGUGGGGAGGGUCCUUUUGGUCCCUCCCCUGCCUUUUCCCGCUCAGAAAGCCGCUCAGAAAGCCGAAUCUCGCCGAUUCUCAGCUCCGAGGAGAAAAUUUUGCCGGAAAUUAAAUCCUUCCUUCUGUUAGGCAGUAGUCGAUUGAUGGGAGGAGCUAAAAGUCACUUGGUGUCCUGACAAGAUGUGUUACUCUUUUGCUAAAAUCGUCAUCUCUAAUGCUUUGAGGGCGAUAACUUCUGCACACCUAGAACUUUCGGAUUACUACCGAGCUUGAAGAAUCUUAUUUUGGAAGAGACUUUUUGGUUUUUCUAGACAUUGGACUUUCAUGUACAGUUAAAUUUUCAAGAUAAUUUUGGAGACCAACAGAGUUUUUAACUUUCAUUUUUGCCAAGAUGCGAUAAUGGUAUUGUGGUUAUGUCCACAAUAGUUUCAGUCACUUAGACGAUUCAUCCAUAAAACGGGGAUGUCCAUCUGGCAAAGUUUUUGUGAAGAUUAAGAAAGAUAAUGUAUUCAGAGAUUAGCAGAAGGCCUGGCACUUGGUAAGCAUUCAGCAAGCAGGCUGUCUUUGGACUGGAGCUGAACAUCAGUUUGCCUGGGUCUCAGCCUGCCCACCUUCGGAUUAGAACUAUUGUAUCAGCUCUCGGUCUCCAGGCUGCUGCUCUUCAGCGUGAAACUGAAACAUCAGCUCCUCGUGGGUCUCCAGCUUGCCCACCCUCCCCUGCAGAUUUUGUACUUGCCAGCCUCCAUAAUCAUGUUGUUCUUCCUUCCCAGAAAACAGAAAAACUGCCAUCAACAGGCAAGGAGCUAGGAGCUCUCAGACUUACCCAACUAACCAUAAAGACACACUACUACAAUGAACACUGCAGUACUUGUAUCUGUUACCGGCAGUACCAGAGGUGGAUACUAAAAAUAAAACAACAUUUGUGCCAGCACACCUGUAGGUAAGAGGAAGAAAAAGCAAUUCUCAUGCUGGUAUAAGAGACAAGCCCCUCGGACCACCUGAAGAGUCAAGCUCUGUCUUACAGCAUUAAGCUCGCUACAAUUUCUGCAAUGCAAUGGCCAUUAAUGCUUAUUAAAUGCCAGGCACUAUAUUAAGCAAUGGGGAUACAGAGAUAGAUAACUAAGUCCCAGUCUGCAGCCUUGGAGGAUUUCAGUCUGGGGAAAUCAGAAAUGUAAAUGUUUAUGAAUCUAAUGAACUGAGUGCUAUAGAAACCCAGAAAUGUUUACCAUACGAACAAAAAAUUUUAAUCUAUCUAAAUGCUAAUGCCUUACUGUCAGUUUCAAUCUUUCAAAAUCUUUUCCAAAUUAGAUAUCAAAUAUUGAAGGAAAAAUAGGUAACAAUAUUCUAAAGUUAAAUACAGGAACACAUCCUUGAAAAUUAACACGAGGUAAAUUUUUAUUGUGCUAUCUCAGUGAGCCAUGUCUGGAAAGUUACUUAAAAGUUCACUUCCACUUUUGAAGUUAGUUAAAAUAUACAUAUGUUUGGCUGGACACUCAUCAAAGGUAAGAAAAUCUUAACUAAACCAGUGGCACUGGGAAAGGACUAAGAUUAGCUCAGAUGCUACGACUGGAAAAUACUUCCUUUCACUCUAGCUUUAAAGACAUGUUAGACAUACCGCACCAUUCAUAUAAGCUUACUGAGAUACUUUAAAAACCUACAAGCCAACCACAGGAUAGCACUUCACACCCUCUAAGGUGGUUAUAAUAAAAAAGACAGACAGUGACAAGUAUUGGUGAGGAUGUAAAGAAACUGGUGGGAAUGGAAAAUGUGCAUUCUCCUGGUAGAAACGUAAAACAUGGAGCAGCUUUGGAUAACACUCUGGCAGUUCCUCAAAAUGUUAAACAUACUUGUAGGUACAUACCCAAGAUAAUCAAAAACAUCGUGCAAAACAAAAACUUGUGUAAAAGGUUCAUAGUAGCAUUAUUCAUAAAAUACAAAAUAUAUUACAUCUUAUGUAUUACUAUAUACAAAAUAUUCCAAAAUGUGGAAGCAACUCAAAGUGUCUAUCAACAAAUGAAUGGAUAAACAAAAUAUGGUAUAUCCAUACAACAGAAAAUUAUUCAGUCAUUAAAAGGAAUGAAGUAUUUCUGACCAUGCAACAAUACUGAUGAACCUUGAAAACAUUAAGUCAAAGGAGUCAGUCACAGAAUACUGAUUCGAUUUAUAUGAAAUGUCUAGACGAGGCAAAUCUAUGGAAACAGAAGGUAGAUUAGUGGUUGCCAAGGUCUGCGGGGAGGGGGGAGGAGGGGAGGAAUGACUGCUAAUGGGUAUGAGGUUUCUUUUGGGGGUGAUAAAAACUGAUUGUGGUGAUGGUUGCACAAUUUUGUGAAUAUACUAAAACCUAUUAAAUUGUACAACUUAAAUGAGUGAAUUUUACACUAAGUGAAUUAUAUCUCCAUAAAGCUGUUAUUAAUUUUUAAAACACCUACAAGCCACAAUAUUGAACAGUUUAACAACGAUGAAGUUUUUUAUACUUAUCUAGUCUGUGCAGCAUUAAGAUCUUGCCAGGCUUUCAGUCCUUCCUCCCCUCCUAUUUUUUAACAAAUCAAAUCCUAGCCUUAAAUCAAAACUUCAGAGGUCUUAUUUAACCAAAAGACAAUGUCUUGUUAUCUGUCUUUUAAAAUUAUACUUAAACAGCAAUCAUUUCACAAAAAAGAUAUAGAUAAGGAAUGCAUAUAUGAAAAAUGUCCCUAUCUCAUCUUUUUUUAAAAAAGCAGAGGGUGGGAGGGGAUCUGUGUCUUCCUCUGGCUUCUGCCAUCUCCUUUCAGAAUGUUAAAAGUAAAUGGAAGAAAUUUAUACCACUUCACCUAUUUCUUCUUUCAACCCACUAUAGUCUGGCUUUUUCCCAUACCCCAACCCCAAACUGCUUUUUCUAGUCACCAAAUCACUACUACUUGGCAAACAGAAUGGGUGCUUUCUCAAGCUCACCUUACAGGUCCUCCCAGAAUCACUGUAUCAGACUUCGGUGACUACUCCUUUCUUGAAACUCUCCCAGGCUUUUCUGACAUCCUCUGGGUUCCCUUCCUUCCUCUUUGAGCACACCUUCCCGAGAGCAAUCACUAGCACUUCCGUUUAGAAGCUGCUCUUUAAAUGCUGAUGCUCUUCAACCAACCUAAAGCUGGUCACUCUACAGGCUUGUCUGAAUAAGCUCGUUUCACUUUCAUGCUUUCAAAUACCUCUUACAUGCUUUAAUUCUGUCCCCUCAGCUCUCUCGAGAUCUACAUUUCCACAGAUGUCUCAUAGGCACCUCUUUUUAACGUGUCCAAAGCUAAACUCAUUCUCUUCGACUUUGAAAUUUCUUCCAUCUUCUGCUUGGUCUCCUCUGCUUGUGUCUCCUCUCUUCCUCCUUACCCUACCAAACAGUACCUUCCAACUUGAGCGACGGUAUACCAAGCUAGAAACCUUGGAGUCAUACUACAACAUUCCUGUCUCCUUCACUACUCACAUAGUGACUCUUUGAGACUUCUUCCUUUAUCCUUAUCAGAUCCUUUGUACACUCUCUGUUCUACUGUCUUAGUUUAGCUCAGGCCCUCAUAUCUCACUCCCUAUAUUUCAACAGCUUCAAAAAUGCUCUCCUUCAAUCCGGUAAUCCAUUCUUCAUACUACCAUCAGAAUCAACUUUCUGCAGCACAAAUCUGUCAAAUGACUGCUUACUUUUCUUAAACUAUGCAGCGAUCUGCAGAGACCUAUAGUACUGAUUCUCAGCAUUUUACCAGAACCAACCUGAAUGAUAUAAGUGAAGGCUCAAAGUAAAACAGGCUGGGGUGGUGAGGGGACAACUGGAGGUGGGGAAACACUGCUGGAGUGUUCAAACAGAAUGUCUAUUUUCUUAACACCUGCCUACUUUCCCUGUAACUCUAAGACCUGUAGUGUGUUACUGUUCAGAAUUACUAUUACUGAUCUAUAGUAUCCAGCACAGAUUCAAGAACCUUCAACACCUGAUCCCUACCCUAGCUUUCUCAGCACCAUGUUAGCCUUUAUCAUGCACUAUUUCACUGUUACUCAAAAUCUGGUGAUGGCCCACCCCCAGACCAAUUCAAAGAGUCCGUGAGGUCAAAACUCUUUUCCUAACAAUACUAAGUUAUGCUUCCUCACCUGUAAAUAUGCAAAUGCACAGACUUUAGUACAAGAUUUUUUUAAUCACCUUCAUUCCCUUUAGGAGUGUACAGCGGAGUUUUCCAGAGAGUACAUGACACGUGACACUGAAAAGUGAUAAUGCAACAGUAUGAAUGCAACAGCUAUAAGAAUCCAGCUCUCUAUUAAGCCAGACAUUUAAAAAAUUUGCAAAAAUAUAAAAAUAAUGCUUCU